Molecule: ribosomal RNA, 681 nt
Filed under: uncultured Vibrionaceae bacterium
Lineage: Bacteria; Pseudomonadati; Pseudomonadota; Gammaproteobacteria; Vibrionales; Vibrionaceae
Description: bacterial SSU rRNA
Rfam family: Bacterial small subunit ribosomal RNA
Source: RNAcentral
CGCGGGAUUAGAGUUUGAUCAUGGCUCAGAUUGAACGCUGGCGGCAGGCCUAACACAUGCAAGUCGAGCGGAAACGAGAAUAGCUUGCUAUUCGGCGUCGAGCGGCGGACGGGUGAGUAAUGCCUGGGAAAUUGCCCUGAUGUGGGGGAUAACCAUUGGAAACGAUGGCUAAUACCGCAUAAUAGCUUCGGCUUAAAGAGGGGGACCUUCGGGCCUCUCGCUUCAGGAUAUGCCCAGGUGGGAUUAGCUAGUUAGUGAGGUAAAGGCUCACCAAGGCGACGAUCCCUAGCUGGUCUGAGAGGAUGAUCAGCCACACUGGAACUGAGACACGGUCCAGACUCCUACGGGAGGCAGCAGUGGGGAAUAUUGCACAAUAGGCGCAAGCCUGAUGCAGCCAUGCCGCGUGUAUGAAGAAGGCCUUCGGGUUGUAAAGUACUUUCAGCAGUGAGGAAGGGUGUGUAGUUAAUAGCUGCAUACUUUGACGUUAGCUGCAGAAGAAGCACCGGCUAACUCCGUGCCAGCAGCCGCGGUAAUACGGAGGGUGCGAGCGUUAAUCGGAAUUACUGGGCGUAAAGCGCAUGCAGGUGGUUUGUUAAGUCAGAUGUGAAAGCCCGGGGCUCAACCUCGGAACCGCAUUUGAAACUGGCAGGCUAGAGUACUGUAGAGGGGGGUAGAAUUUCA